GCGGCGGACGGGUGAGUAAUACAUGGGUAAUCUAUGUUUGAGUUCGGGAUAACCCCGCGAAAGUGGGGCUAAUACCGGAUAAGACCACGUAACCCAGGUUACGCGGUAAAAGGUGGCUUAUACUUUCGGGUUUAGGCUAUCACUUGAGAAUGAGCCCAUGGCCUAUCAGCUUGUUGGUGAGGUAAAAGCUCACCAAGGCUAUGACGGGUAGCUGGUCUAAGAGGACGGCCAGCCACACUGGGACUGAGACACGGCCCAGACUCCUACGGGAGGCAGCAGUGGGGAAUACUGGGCAAUGGGCGAAAGCCUGACCCAGCGACGCCAUGUGGGUGAUGAAGGCCUUCGGGUUGUAAAGCCCUGUUAGGUGGGAAGAAGGGUCCAGAGGUGAAUAAUCUUUGGAUUUUGACGGUACCGCCGAAGAAAGCACCGGCUAACUCCGUGCCAGCAGCCGCGGUAAUACGGAGGGUGCAAGCGUUGUUCGGAAUUACUGGGCGUAAAGGGCGUGUAGGCGGUUGUGUAAGUCAGACGUGAAAUCCUUCGGCUCAACUGGAGAACUGCGUCUGAAACUGCAUGACUAGAGUGCAGAAGAGGGAAACGGAAUUCCUGGUGUAGAGGUGAAAUUUGUAGAUAUCAGGAGGAACACCGGUGGCGAAGGCGGUUUCCUGGUCUGACACUGACGCUGAGGCGCGAAAGCGUGGGGAGCAAACAGGAUUAGAUGCCCUGGUAGUCCACGCCGUAAACGGUGAAUACUGGGUGUGGGAGGCGUAAUGCCUUCUGUGCCGAAGCUAACGCGUUAAGUAUUCCGCCUGGGGAGUACGGCCGCAAGGUUGAAACUCAAAGGAAUUGACGGGGGCC
Molecule: ribosomal RNA, 855 nt
Filed under: uncultured bacterium
Lineage: Bacteria
Description: bacterial SSU rRNA
Rfam family: Bacterial small subunit ribosomal RNA
Source: RNAcentral